CAAGGGGUGCAAGAGUGAUCCAGGAAUGGAUCACUAGACAGUGGUCAAAGUUAUCCUUAGUAACUAGUGGACUAAGGAAAUUUUCUCGAUUAUGGAGGUGAUUAAAGAGUUCGUCGCAAAGGGGUUACGUCGAUGCAAGCUUUGUCACUAAUCCGGAUGACUAUGUGUAGUAAACCGGAUUCGUAUAGUGGAGCUGUCAUUUGGAAUAGUUCCAAAUGGUGCAUGGUAGCAGUAUCUAUAUGAACACGUAGAGAUUUGUAAACCACACACAGAUCUGAAAGGUUCAGACUCAUUGACUAAUAAACCUCUCUCACAAGCAAGACAUGAACGAACCCCAGAAUUGUAUGGGUGUUGGAUUCAUUGCAAUCACAUAGUGAUGUGAACUAGAUAAAUGACUCUAGUGCAAGUGGGAGACUUUUGGAAAUAUUCCCUAGAGGCAAUAAGAAAUUGGUUAUUAUUAUAUUUCCUAGUUCAUGAUAAUUGUCUAUUAUUCAUGCUAUAACUGUAUUAACCAGAAACCAUAAUACAUGUGUGAAUAUAUAGAUCACAAUGUGUCCCUAGUAAGCCUCUAGUUGGCUAGCUCAUUGAUCAAUAGAUGAUCAUGGUUUCUUGAUCAUGGACAUUGGAUGUCAUUGAUAACGGGAUCACAUCAUUGGGGAAUGAUGUGAUGGACAAGACCCAAUCCUAAGCAUAGCACUAGAUCGUGUUGUUCGUCUGCUAAAGCUUUUCUAAUGUCAAGUAUCAUUUCCUUAGACCGUGAGAUUGUGCAACUCCCGGAUACCGUAGGAGUGCUUUGGGUGUACCAAACGUCACAACGUAACUGAGUGAUUAUAAAGGUGCACUACAGGUAUAUGCGAAAGUGUCUGUUGAGUUGUACGAAUCGAGACCAGGAUUUAUCACUCCGUGUGACGGAGAGGUAUCUCUGGGCCCACUCGAUAAUCCAUCAUCAUAUUGAGCUCAGUGUGACUAAGGGGUUAGCCACGAGAUGAUGUGUUACGGAACGAGUAAAGAGACUUGCCGGUAACGAGAUUGAACAAGGUAUAGGGAUACCGAUGAUCGGAUCUCGGGCUAGUAUCAUACCGAUAGACAAAGGGAAUUGCAUACCUGAUUGAUUGAAUCCUUGACAUCAUGGUUCAUCCAAUGAGAUCAUCGUGGAACAUGUGGGAACCAACAUGGAUAUCCAGACCGUGCUGUUGGUUAUUGGCCGGAGAGAUGUCUCGGUCAUGUCUUGUAAUGCCCAAGAUGCGAUCCUAUCCUUAUUUUGGCACGAAGGCCUCGACAGGGAUAGAAGCGCAUCUCGUCGUUUGGCAAGAAUGGAUAUCGUUACAAGUACAUGUACUGAAGAGAAGAGUAUAUGGAAUUGGCUUACACUCACCACAAGCUACAUCAGAGUCACAUCAGUACAAUACAUAAA
Molecule: long non-coding RNA, 1414 nt
Filed under: Hordeum vulgare
Lineage: Eukaryota; Viridiplantae; Streptophyta; Magnoliopsida; Poales; Poaceae
Description: long non-coding RNA (HVUL_LNC016083)
Source: RNAcentral